Molecule: ribosomal RNA, 459 nt
Filed under: uncultured bacterium
Lineage: Bacteria
Description: partial 16S ribosomal RNA
Rfam family: Bacterial small subunit ribosomal RNA
Source: RNAcentral
CCUACGGGUGUCAGCAGUGAGGAAUAUUGGUCAAUGGGCGCAAGCCUGAACCAGCCAAGUCGCGUGAGGGAAGACGGUCCUAUGGAUUGUAAACCUCUUUUGUCGGGGCGCAAAAGCCGCCACGCGUGGCGUUCCGAGAGUACCCGAAGACAAAGCAUCGGCUAACUCCGUGCCCGCAGCCGCGGUAAUACGGAGGAUGCGAGCGUUAUCCGGAUUUCUUGGGUUAAAAGGGUGCGCAGGCGUGAGAGCAAGUAAGCGGUGAAAUUGAGAGGCCCAAACUCUGCGUGCCGUUGAAACUGGUUUUCUUGAGUGAGUGAGAAGUAUGCGGAAAGCGUGGUGUAGCGGUGAAAUGCAUAGAUAUCACGCAGAACUCCGAUUGCGAAGGCAGCAUACCGGCGCUCAACUGACGCUCAUGCACGAAAGUGUGGGUAUCGAACAGGAUUAGAUACCCGGGUAGUC